CCUGUCGCGACGACUAACUGCAGCGGAGCGGAACUACGACGUGGGAGAUCGUGAGCUGCUGGCAGUGAAGGCGGCGCUGGAGGAGUGGCGGCACUGGCUCGAGGGGGCACAGCACCCUUUUUUGACCGGGCUCAAGAAAUACCAAGCCUGACGCCUUAUCCCGUCUUUUCAGCCCGGAGCCCGUGGCCAGGGAACCUGAGCCCAUCCUCCCACUACACUGUGUGGUUGGAGCGGUUACCUGGCCUAUAGAGACCAAGGUGAUCCACUGGGCUCACUCGUCUUUGCUCACCUGCCAUCCGGGCGUACGUCGGACCAUGUUCGCCAUCACGCAGAGGUUCUGG
Gasterosteus aculeatus aculeatus (three-spined stickleback) is the source of this 341-nucleotide long non-coding RNA. NCBI's taxonomy places the organism in Eukaryota, Metazoa, Chordata, Actinopteri, Perciformes, Gasterosteidae. The record is from Ensembl.